UUUAAUUUGUGCCUGAAUAAAAAACUGAGCCCUGAGCUAGAAGGAGCCCUGGGAGCCCUGGGAGUCCUGGGAGACAGUCAGCAGCCUGCAUGUGGUGAAGCACAUCGGUUCUUUCAAACCUGUUGGUUAAAUUUGAUUCAAGCUGGCUGGAGGAUUGACACCUCAAAAAUCGAUAAAAAGCAAAUAUCAGUAUGUUGAAGGCUACACUAAACUUCAGGAUCAGAACUUAUCACAAAGUACGCUCAAGUCAUCCUAGAAAAGGAAGGGACAAAGUGCAAUUGAAG
Molecule: long non-coding RNA, 284 nt
Filed under: Struthio camelus australis
Lineage: Eukaryota; Metazoa; Chordata; Aves; Struthioniformes; Struthionidae
Description: lncRNA (ENSSCUG00000015756.1)
Source: RNAcentral